Molecule: long non-coding RNA, 4154 nt
Organism: Gallus gallus (chicken)
Lineage: Eukaryota; Metazoa; Chordata; Aves; Galliformes; Phasianidae
Source: Ensembl
GGGCGGCCGACGGAGAGCUGCAGCGCCGCGGGCCGGCGGUGGGGACGGGGCUGAGCCCCGCGGGAGGCUGCGGCUCAUGGGGGGGCUGCGGGGACAGGAGGUGAAGGGACAGUACGUGUGGUACCCGUGGGGGUACUGAGAGGGGAAAAAAAUAGGCUUGUAGUGCGCGAAUCGAGGGCUGUAAUGCCUUUAAAGGAGCAGGUAGGAUCAGUCUGGCUCUGUGGGAGGCGUUAUGCUAUGUUUAAUGUAUAACCAUUUGUUCUUUUUAUUUUUACCCAUACAUCCAAACUUAAAGGAAAACUCAUAUUGGCUUUGACCAUCAGCGUUGCAUUUCAGAGGUUUACCACCUCUUCACUGGUGGUGUAUGUAAUCAACGUUGGCACUUCUUAUAUGCAAGUGUUUCUUUUUCCUUUUUCUCAAUACCCUUUUAUCAGGAGCAGUGCAAAGCCGAAGCUGUGGUGCUUUGUGCUGUAUUUCCCAUGUACGUUUUUACUGCAGGCAGUUAAAGGAUUAUCCAGACCUUCAUCAGAACAACUUCGGUGGGUUUAUAUUUUUAAGGCUGUUGCCUUGAUGGUCUGAUCAAAAGCUGCGGGCUUAUCCAAGCCUGAUGGACCUCCGAUAAAAGUGGGUCUUUCAGAACACAGUUGAAGAACUUUGAGUUUUUAAAAAGGAAUCUGGAAACAAUGGUUUUACCAACAGUUUGUUUUCCUUUUAGAAGGAUGACUUUGAAAAGUUUUUCCUAUUUCUUAUUCUUCUCACGCUUGCCCCACGAGCCAAAUAGAACUGGAAGCAUGUUUGGUUUUUUUUUGUUUUGUUUUGUUUUUAACCGUACAUCUAAAUAAAAUGGUCCACAGACUAAUUCAUGAAGUAGAAUUUCACUGCUUUAAACGUAACCUAAGAAAUGUAGUGAGCUUGCCUAUGUGUAUCUCUUAAGCCUUGAGUGUACCUAAGCCUUAAAUGUACGUAGUCUUGCCAUCACUUCUGUUUUCUUCAAAAAUACACUGUUUGGCAUGAAAUCGCCAAUUGGCACAGGAGUGUAAUAGCAGAUGAUUCUGGUCACGCUGAAGUCAAGAGUUCUGGUGUUGCCUGCAGUAGAGUUGUGAUCUUCAGAGGAGGAGCUCCCAGGAGAAGCUGAAAUAUUUAAGUAGUAGGCAAACCUGGUACGUAGAAGUGCUUCUCAGGGACAGUUUAGGCAAGGCGUGAUUCUUUUUUUUAACCUACUGCUGUAACUCAGAACAAGUUAGGCAAGGUUAAUUACAGUGUAAUAGAGUUUAAUUUAGCUGGGAAUGAGGGUAUGGUGGCUGCUAGCAGUGUUUCUCAAACUGUGAGGCUGGCCUCCUUAGGCAAGCUUACACAAGCCCAAGGCAAAUGGAAAAACACAUUUUUGUCUGGGACUUGGCAAAGGUAGAACCCCCACAUCUAUUAAUGAUGAUUCCUCAUUUGCCAAGGCAAAAAUUGAAAUGUUCUCCCAAGGAAAAGAUUAAUGACCUGUCCCACUUAAGGGUCGGAUGAUUCAAUACCAUUCUGUCUCAGUUCUAAUAUAUGGCACUCAUUAUCACAGUCUCUGAGCACCUCCCAAAUAUUUAAAAAGAAAUAACACUAGUGUUCUGUACACACAGUUCUCAUUAAAUUCAGUGGGUGUUGUGAAUGUUUAAACACAGCAAAGCAGAGCCCUGAAGAGUUGGAAAUAGACUUGCAAAACACGCUGUGGGUUUGAUCCACAGCUGGCUUGAAUCGGCCCAACUCUGUUAACUCGAGGGGAGUUGCACUCAUUUACAUCAGCUGGGGUUUGACCCAUUGCUUUUCUUCCCGGUGCCACCUCCAGCUGAUAAGCCUGAUCCUCCCAUCUGGCUCUAUCCAAACUUGUUGCUGAUUUCAGUGGCAGUGUGAGCUGUUUAAGGGAGGGUUUCCUGCUUCCAAGGUGUUAUCAUUGCUCUUCAUAGCGUGGUUUGAGAUGAUGUCAGAAGGCUUGUGAAACUGCACUGGUAUAUGGAAAAAAACUACUUUUGAAAACUGCAUUCAUUCUGCUUUGCCUUCUUCAGCUGUCAACGCCCUGACACUGAUUCAGCUCUUCAUCUUUCAUAUCCCGGGACAGAGAAUAAACAAUACGUAGCCAGCUUCAGUGCAAGCAUUGAAAAACUGGAAAAUGAGGACUUUCUGAAAAAUAAAACCUUCGUGAACUGGUUGAUCUAGCUACUUGAUUUUGAAACUUUUUUGUUUUCUUUUGUUCAACACCCUCAUGCAGGGGAGGAAAAAAAAACAACAAAAACGAAAGGAAAGCCAUUAAUGCUCUGUUUGGUAGUUUAUUCUGAUAUGUAUUUUAUUGUGACUUUUUCUAAUGUGCCAUACGUUGCCUGAUACACUGGAGUUUAAGCCUUCAUAGCAACUGACUUCUUUUGUGCUUCUCAGUUCUCCAGUCUGGGUUCUGAAAGAGGCAACAACAGAAGAGUUCCCUCCUCUGGGAAGAGGUCUCCCAGGGCAGUUCCCGGCCGAGCAGUGCCAUCUGCCGAAAGUGGAAAGCACAGCCCGGGAGCUGCGGGUCUGGAAGCGCUGCUCCUCCAGCGCUGCUAAAUGCUCUUUGUUUUGAGUUUACUUGAGGUUUGGGAUUCGAACUCUUCUGGUGCAGUUCCUAAGAACAGCAGUACUGCUGAGACAAGAAGUUUCUUUCUGUUGCUGGUAGUGAAAUCUGCUCUCAAAGAGCCUCUAGGCUGUUGGGAAACUGUCACCUGCUCUGUUCUUUGUCUCAUACUGACAAAGCAGCCUUGUUUUAGUUGAGAUGUAUAAUUUGCUCUUUCCAAUCAAGUGUGCUUAAAUAUUGAAUUCAGAAAAUGGAGUCUUUCUGCUUCGUUAAAGGAUUAAUAAGGCACUGAGCUCUGAAUGGACUGGUGGGAAAAACACCCUCAGGAUUCACUGAGGAGAAGGAAAUAAAACAGCAACUUUCCAGUAAGACAAGGCAUCAGAUGAGCUGUGCACUCCAAACUCUCUGGAGCAUGUUGGGUGAUUUUGUUCUCUACAGUAUAAUUUUCAUAUUGUAUUCUCAAGUCACAAAAGCUGUAAGUGUUUCUGUGUGGCCAGCAAAGCUAACCUUUCAAUUUAUGGUAUGAUGCUCCUUUAUCUUUGACGGGAAAAAAAAAAAAAAAAGGCUGCAGGGAACUUGAUGUUUGCUUUUUAAUGAGUCGGUUGUCACAAAGUAGAGAGAGACCUUGGGAAUGCCUCUGUGUGCAUUGCACUGGGCAGAGGGGAGCUAGAAGCCAGGGCUGGGCUUUUCCUUCCCUCUUUGACCCCCUCCGUGCGUGAAUUCUCCCCUCAGUCCAAAUUUCUGCCCUAUAAGUCUUUAUCAUCCUGUUUCACUUCACUGAUGUGAGAAAGCAGCAUCAAGGGAGGAUCAGGCUGGGUGUUAGGAAAAGAUUCUUGACCAGAGGGUGGUCGGCCACAGGAGUGGGCUCCCCAGGGCAGUGUUCAUGGCCCCAGGCUGUCGGAGAUCAAGGAGCGUUUGGACAAGGCUAUCCGCGCUCGGGACAUCUCUUGGCUGUCGCUGUCCCCCUGAGGCCCGACUCCUCCAGCCGCUGUCCCCGUAGGAGCCGCCCGGCAGCGAGGCGGUGUGGGGGCGCUGUCUGUGGUGCUGAAGCGGUGCGCGGAUUCGACUUGCUCCCCAUCCGCAGCCCCCUAAAGACCAACCAACAUUAAAAGGCGGCAGAGUUAUUAUUAUUGUUUUACAUUCUGCGGCUUAAAUAUAUCUAGAGAGAGGCCACUGAAAUAGUAGUAGAAGCACAGAUGCAUAACACAAGCAGAACUAUAAUGUGACUGGGUGGACAUGUUUCAUGGAGGCGAGGGUGGCUGGGGCUUUGCAUGAGAAACACUCAGGCAAGUUAGUGAGGGUUAAACUGGUAUGAUUAGGGUGACAAGGAAUUAAGCAAGAGACCAUGGAUUGCAUACUGUCUCUCUUUAUGACUUGCAAAUUAGAAUGGAAAUUAAAAAGCUGGAAGACAGAGAUCCCCACGCCUCGCAGACACGGGCAACUGAGCAAAAGAUUAUCUGCAACUGUCUCUCAUUAAAUGGUGUCAGGCUUCCUUCCCCUGACCUUCACAGGUUGUUUACAGAAAGAGUUCUGAUCUCCUCUUGGAGAGCGAGGUCACAGGGAGGCAGGGGCCUGA